Molecule: ribosomal RNA, 2372 nt
Filed under: Escherichia coli
Lineage: Bacteria; Pseudomonadati; Pseudomonadota; Gammaproteobacteria; Enterobacterales; Enterobacteriaceae
Description: bacterial LSU rRNA
Rfam family: Bacterial large subunit ribosomal RNA
Source: RNAcentral
GUGUGACUGCGUACCUUUUGUAUAAUGGGUCAGCGACUUAUAUUCUGUAGCAAGGUUAACCGAAUAGGGGAGCCGAAGGGAAACCGAGUCUUAACUGGGCGUUAAGUUGCAGGGUAUAGACCCGAAACCCGGUGAUCUAGCCAUGGGCAGGUUGAAGGUUGGGUAACACUAACUGGAGGACCGAACCGACUAAUGUUGAAAAAUUAGCGGAUGACUUGUGGCUGGGGGUGAAAGGCCAAUCAAACCGGGAGAUAGCUGGUUCUCCCCGAAAGCUAUUUAGGUAGCGCCUCGUGAAUUCAUCUCCGGGGGUAGAGCACUGUUUCGGCAAGGGGGUCAUCCCGACUUACCAACCCGAUGCAAACUGCGAAUACCGGAGAAUGUUAUCACGGGAGACACACGGCGGGUGCUAACGUCCGUCGUGAAGAGGGAAACAACCCAGACCGCCAGCUAAGGUCCCAAAGUCAUGGUUAAGUGGGAAACGAUGUGGGAAGGCCCAGACAGCCAGGAUGUUGGCUUAGAAGCAGCCAUCAUUUAAAGAAAGCGUAAUAGCUCACUGGUCGAGUCGGCCUGCGCGGAAGAUGUAACGGGGCUAAACCAUGCACCGAAGCUGCGGCAGCGACGCUGAUGCGUUGUUGGGUAGGGGAGCGUUCUGUAAGCCUGUGAAGGUGUGCUGUGAGGCAUGCUGGAGGUAUCAGAAGUGCGAAUGCUGACAUAAGUAACGAUAAAGCGGGUGAAAAGCCCGCUCGCCGGAAGACCAAGGGUUCCUGUCCAACGUUAAUCGGGGCAGGGUGAGUCGACCCCUAAGGCGAGGCCGAAAGGCGUAGUCGAUGGGAAACAGGUUAAUAUUCCUGUACUUGGUGUUACUGCGAAGGGGGGACGGAGAAGGCUAUGUUGGCCGGGCGACGGUUGUCCCGGUUUAAGCGUGUAGGCUGGUUUUCCAGGCAAAUCCGGAAAAUCAAGGCUGAGGCGUGAUGACGAGGCACUACGGUGCUGAAGCAACAAAUGCCCUGCUUCCAGGAAAAGCCUCUAAGCAUCAGGUAACAUCAAAUCGUACCCCAAACCGACACAGGUGGUCAGGUAGAGAAUACCAAGGCGCUUGAGAGAACUCGGGUGAAGGAACUAGGCAAAAUGGUGCCGUAACUUCGGGAGAAGGCACGCUGAUAUGUAGGUGAAGUCCCUCGCGGAUGGAGCUGAAAUCAGUCGAAGAUACCAGCUGGCUGCAACUGUUUAUUAAAAACACAGCACUGUGCAAACACGAAAGUGGACGUAUACGGUGUGACGCCUGCCCGGUGCCGGAAGGUUAAUUGAUGGGGUUAGCGCAAGCGAAGCUCUUGAUCGAAGCCCCGGUAAACGGCGGCCGUAACUAUAACGGUCCUAAGGUAGCGAAAUUCCUUGUCGGGUAAGUUCCGACCUGCACGAAUGGCGUAAUGAUGGCCAGGCUGUCUCCACCCGAGACUCAGUGAAAUUGAACUCGCUGUGAAGAUGCAGUGUACCCGCGGCAAGACGGAAAGACCCCGUGAACCUUUACUAUAGCUUGACACUGAACAUUGAGCCUUGAUGUGUAGGAUAGGUGGGAGGCUUUGAAGUGUGGACGCCAGUCUGCAUGGAGCCGACCUUGAAAUACCACCCUUUAAUGUUUGAUGUUCUAACGUUGACCCGUGAUCCGGGUUGCGGACAGUGUCUGGUGGGUAGUUUGACUGGGGCGGUCUCCUCCUAAAGAGUAACGGAGGAGCACGAAGGUUGGCUAAUCCUGGUCGGACAUCAGGAGGUUAGUGCAAUGGCAUAAGCCAGCUUGACUGCGAGCGUGACGGCGCGAGCAGGUGCGAAAGCAGGUCAUAGUGAUCCGGUGGUUCUGAAUGGAAGGGCCAUCGCUCAACGGAUAAAAGGUACUCCGGGGAUAACAGGCUGAUACCGCCCAAGAGUUCAUAUCGACGGCGGUGUUUGGCACCUCGAUGUCGGCUCAUCACAUCCUGGGGCUGAAGUAGGUCCCAAGGGUAUGGCUGUUCGCCAUUUAAAGUGGUACGCGAGCUGGGUUUAGAACGUCGUGAGACAGUUCGGUCCCUAUCUGCCGUGGGCGCUGGAGAACUGAGGGGGGCUGCUCCUAGUACGAGAGGACCGGAGUGGACGCAUCACUGGUGUUCGGGUUGUCAUGCCAAUGGCACUGCCCGGUAGCUAAAUGCGGAAGAGAUAAGUGCUGAAAGCAUCUAAGCACGAAACUUGCCCCGAGAUGAGUUCUCCCUGACUCCUUGAGAGUCCUGAAGGAACGUUGAAGACGACGACGUUGAUAGGCCGGGUGUGUAAGCGCAGCGAUGCGUUGAGCUAACCGGUACUAAUGAACCGUGAGGCUUAACCUUACAACGCCGAAGGUGUUU